CGUCCAGACUCCUACGGGAGGCAGCAGUGGGGGAUAUUGCACAAUGGGGGGAACCCUGAUGCAGCGACGCCGCGUGGGUGAGGAAGUACCCCGGUAUGUAAAGCCCUUUCGGCAGGGAAGAAAAUGACGGUACCUGGCGAAGAAGCCCCGGCUAACUACGUGCCAGCAGCCGCGGUAAUACGUAGGGAGCGAGCGUUGUCCGGAAUUACUGGGUGUAAAGGGAGCGUAGGCGGGGAUGCAAGUUGGGUGUCAAAACUACCGGCUCAACUGGUAGUCGCACUCAAAACUGCAGCUCUUGAGUGAAGUAGAGGCAGGCGGAAUUCCUAGUGUAGCGGUGAAAUGCGUAGAUAUUAGGAGGAACACCAGUGGCGAAGGCGGCCUGCUGGGCUUUUACUGACGCUGAGGCUCGAAAGUGUGGGGAGCAAACAGGAUUAGAUACCCCAGUAC
This 447-nucleotide ribosomal RNA is filed under the name uncultured bacterium. Its description in RNAcentral is "bacterial SSU rRNA". It matches the Rfam family "Bacterial small subunit ribosomal RNA", at positions 328 to 793 of the family's 1533-position model. The record is from RNAcentral.